Molecule: long non-coding RNA, 5212 nt
Organism: Serinus canaria (Common canary)
Lineage: Eukaryota; Metazoa; Chordata; Aves; Passeriformes; Fringillidae
Exons: 3
Source: RefSeq, a predicted model, not a curated record
AACACGCAGAACGGCUCCGGGGUCUGGGCGCGGCCGCGGCACCAGACUGCGGCAGGGGCUGGGCAGGGGGGCCGUGAGGAGAGAAGUAGGGCAGAGGAGGAGGGGCGGCGGCAGCGGGGGCUGGCGCCGGGGGCGAUCCGCAGCCCCGGCGGGGCAGCCCGCGCGGGAGGGGCGGGGGCUCCGUCCAGGCCUGUUGUGGGGCCGAGCGCGGGCGGGAGCGAGGGUGUCUGAGUCAGAGCUGCAUCCUCGGAGGAAUAAACGCCAAAACUCCCUCCUCGGCCGCUCUCACACCCCCAGCCUCCGGCUUCUUCCUCACGACCGUCGAUGCUGUCAGCAUAUGUGUUCUUUAUGAAUCUCUAACAGCAUAUUUUCGGCCUAAACUGCGCGAAAAGCCGGGCAGACCCGCCGGAUCUCACACACUCAGAAGGACUACCUGAGGGAAGGGGAAGAGGGGAGCGAGAAAGGAGCGGGAAUUUUUGCAGACCUGCUCAGGAGGUUUUGACUGAAACUUUCUGUAAAACACUCGAGGCUGAGAAUCUUCCCCGAAGCGUUUAGGACUCAAAGGCAAGUGGGAGAAAGCUUCUUUCCUUAGAGCGAGUGCGACGGCAUUCGCUGAAGGCAUUUCUGUUCUGCAGGGAAUGAGACAAGCAGAGAACGAGCCUCCUUUGCUUGUUAGGGAACGGCGCUCGGGGAAUAGGAAUGGCGUGCUUCCAUCCAGACCAGCGGGCGCUGCCAAUGCCAGGAGCUUACUCAGCCUUUCAGGGCAGACACAGCUCCGGCCAUUCGUAAGCAGCCCGUCUUUCUAACCACCAUAUCUCCUCCCAGCUCUCGCUGUACCCCUACGCCGCCCUGCCUCCCCUGCCCGGCUUCAGCCCCUCCAGCGAUACGGCUGAUGGAGGGAGGGGAGGCGGCGGCUGGGGUUUCGUUCGACGCCCACCAGGGGCUGAGCGAGCCUUCUUCAGUGCGCAAACUCGGGGCACCAGAUAAAAGCUGGGCUGGCAGCUCCUACCUUGCCUCGAUGGAGCCGCCACUUUCGGGUGACUGGAGAAGCAGUUAGCAGCAGCGCCAUAGACUAGCGUCCCCCCCACACCUUGGGCACAGAGAGUUUGGGGCUCUAAACAGCUGCUGCUGCGGCAGGAGGGAGCCGAGGGCGCUUGGCUGGGGCUGCUCGCUCGGGUUCUGCCUGUUGUUGCGCGAAAUGGCGGCUGGCGUCUUGCUACCCUAGGUGAAAGUACAUUAAAGGAAGACUUGCUGAAAUCUGAAGAGCGAGACAGGCUCAGUCACUCAAACUACAGUGGUUCCAGAAUCUGUAAUGUAGACAGGAUAAGGAUUUUUUUUCUGUGCAGUUAAUGCUGUGCUUUUUUUGCUGGUUUCUCAGGAGAAAAGACUCAGCAUGUUGAAUCACAGAGAUGUUACUUCCUGCUGGGUUUUGGGAUUUCCUUGCAGCUCUCCCCUCCAUGGCUGCAGGAACUGUUUUUGCAUAGUGCAUGUUCUAAGGCAGGAACUUGCUGAAGAUGAAGACAGAAGCCAACCAGUUCUGUACUGAAUGUAAUAGUUUCUGACUCAAAUUGUGUGGUAAUUGUCAGAAUAUCAUAGGGUGUUGUAAGAACUGCUGUGUUGAGCAUGACUGAGGAUUUAUUCUUUCAUAAUUUGCCUAAAUGAAUAUAAGAUGCUAAUCUGAAUUAACAUAUGAAAGUGGGGGGGGAAGAUUUCAUUAUAUUUUUCUAGCCACUUGAAACCUGAUUGCAUGCAAAAUAAAUUUCAGUGUGCUGAAGUAGACAUGGGGUUUUUUCCUCACUUGCUCAAUCCUAACUCCCAUUUUUCCUGAUUUCCCACAGAAAGAAAGAACAGCUACUUGCUAUAGCUUCAAAAAUAUUAACAAAAAUACUGUAAGCACUGGAAAUAUGAUAGAGUUUCAAAUUAUUAUCAGUUUCACUGGGGUUAAAAACAUGUAAUCCUGGAAGUGAUGGUAGUAAAUUGAUAUCAAGUAUUUUGACAUACAUACCUGCUUCAUAUAGCUUCCUUUCCUCAUAGAAGAGAAGUAUUCCUAGCAGCUUGUUACAGUGCUGAGUUUCAGUGUCAUGUAUAAGAUUGGCGCGGUUACUAUGAAGACAAACUUUUGGAGAAUUCAUAUGAACUCUACUUCUUCAGCAAUUGCUUUUGAUAAACCAGGUCUUGCAGCUCCAAGAGGCAAACAGGAAAGGGAUGGAGGGAUGGUAGUCAAAUUUUCAGGCAGAUCAACUCUGGUUGGAGUUAAGCUCUCUGAAUGUGGAAUAGUGUCAAACACUCCUUUUUCUUCAGAAUUGGCUUCAGAUGUGCUGUCUUUUUACCCUGCAGUGCUAGAGAAGAGUUCUGGAUGAAGCCAUUUCUCUUUUGUGUUUUAACCUCUGCUGUACAUUGUCCAGUCCUUGUUCAGCAAACGGUUCCAUUUGGUGGACUGUCCUCUGAUGCUGUUUGGAGAAAGGGGAAAGAGUUGAUCUGUAGCCGAGUAUCUAAAAUAUGGGACUUCAGAGGACUGCCUGACAUUGGUAAAUGUAAUGACUUAAAGCAUCUAGAAAAGCCACUUCACAGGAUAAUCCUUCCCAGCACAUUCCAUGAUAAUGUUUCCAGUGCCUUUGAGUUUUUGUCUCUGCGCUUUAAAGAUCCUAGGAUGUGAACUGUCACCUAAAGCACUAUCAGAAGUGCAACUUCUGACAUAAUUUUAAAUAAGUGAAUCUUCCAUCCCUAGAUGUAAUUAUUGCUGGAUUAAAAAAAGGCUAUAUAUUUUAAUUAGGUAUAGUCUGUGUGCCUACUUUGAUGUAAAAAAUGCUUGAAAAAAUAAUGAAAAUUUUUCUUAAUGGUGGAUGACAGAUAUGUAAACUACUGUUAGACUCUGUGUGUGUGUGUGUGUGUGUGUGACUGUUUGUUAAGGGAAAAGCGUGUUUUCAGAGUGUGGUUUUUGGACUUCCAGACAGAUUACACAAACUCAAGGAGGCCCAGCCCACAUCCUGUGUAGAAGACCAGCUCACAGAAAUGCUUAUUGUUCUUCAGGGUUAUAAGUCACUGCAUUUUGUGCCUCCCUUCUAUUUCAAAAUAUUGUAUGGAAAAUACUAAUGCAAAGGAACCACAGCAGCUUAACAAGUGCUUGGUCCUGCCAGGUACAGAGCACUGUGCUCUUACCAGAAGGCUAGGGGACUGGGAUUAAAACAUUAGGCUCCCUGGCUAGAGAACAAAGAGUUUGUGUUGGUAAAAGUAGCUGAGUGUUUAUCAGGUGAGUAAAUCAACUGAUAAUUGACAUAAUUUCAACCUGAAAGUUGUGUGCAGCUGUGCCAGUAUUUACUAUCCUGGAGUGGGAGUUACAGGAUAUGAAGUUUUUUUCAAGCAGGGUGAGUUCUCCAUGACACUUGAUUCACCUCUCCUCAUCCUUCACUGCAGAAAGAGAGGAUGUGGGGUGUCCAGAUCUGAUACCCCACCAGAAAGUGGUUAGUGUUUCUGAAUCUCUACCCAUGCUUAUUGCUGGGUUGUGUUUUUCAACCUGCAGGCUAUCCAUGAAGGGAGCCAUCAAGUCAAAAACACUAAAACCUGUUCACUCUUCCCUUUUUUAAAUGUACAUUGUCAUCUUGGAGGUUAUUUUUUAAAGAGCUGAGGUGCUUUCAUUUUUAACUUUUAAACAGGAAUAGUGUUCCAAUGUUACUUUUAAGCCACUUGUAUUAUGUUUUUCUUCAAAAAAGCAACGGCUUAUAUUUUUUGCUAAAGUUCAGUACCCAUUUAAGACUAAAAUAUUUGUUAUGAUAAUCUGGCUAUAGCUAAGCAGAAGGCUGCCAUGAGAGUGUUUGAGAUUGUGCCCUGCUUUUCUACAGUCCUCUGAAAGGAAUCACUUCCCUUUAGUCUCUUCCAGUCUCCUGACUGUGCAGCAUUCCCAAACCACGUGGGCCAUAAAAUGGGAUUAUAGGGGAGGCAUUCAAGUAAACAGAAGUUCCCUCGGGAUCAGAUUUGCUUUUUCAUACAGAGCUCCUGUGUGCUGUAGCCUGGCACUGGAGUGAAUUCUCUUGGUGACCCCAAGGGUGGGAGAGCACCAGGCCAUCCUCAUGUUUUGGGGAUAGUUUCUCCUGGCUUGCACAAUAAAGUCUCCCUUUGCAGUGUUUUUGGAAGGACACACCCAAGUUCAAGUUUCUUGCUGUGUCUCUUCAGUGUCUUUCUGUAACAAUAAAUGACCAGUCUCAUGAUGCAGCUAUAGCUGCCAGAAAUCUGCAGUGAACAUACAGCUGUAGCAGUCAUUAAUUGCACAGUAUUGCUGGAGUGCUCCAAUGCUUUUGUGAGUUGUGUUCAAAGGUAAGUAGCUGCUUGAAGAGAAAAACCUUUGUGCUUCUGUAGAAGCACACAGUUACAUUGGUGGAUAAUACUGUUUUUCUGUGAUUGCAUGGUCCUGUUCAGCCUGUUCUGUUGAAAGUAUACAACCUGGGCAGGCUCAGUCUGCAGUUUGAGUGCUUAUGAGUUCUUUGUUGAGACUAAAUUGUGUUGGUCUCAGCAGGGAACAUUUCCAGACCAUCCAUCCUGGCCUAAGUAACUCAGGCUGUUAUUGUUGUUCCACAGGAUGAUGCUGUGUGGGAUAUCAGGGCACAAAGCCUUCAGACUUGUGUUAAUUUUGCUGUAGCUGUGUUUCAUAUUUUGAAAGAACUUGCCACAAAUGGAUGUUGUCCUUCUAUCUCUCCAGUGGCUGCUUGUCACCAGAAGAAUGAUUUAGUCAGUAGUGUUCCUCUUAUCAUAGACUCAUAGAAUGGUCGGGAUUGAAAGGGAUCUUAAAGAUAUCUAAUUCUACCCCCUGCCAUGGACCUUUCCCUAGACCACAUUACUCAGGGCCCCAUUACUCAGUGUGCCCUGGCCCACUUCCAGAGGUGGGACAUCCGCAGCUUCUCUGGACAAUCUGUUCAAGUAUUUCACCACUCUCACACUAAAGUAUUUCUUCCUGAUACCUAAUAUACACUUGCCCUCUUUCAGAUUGAAGCCAUUCCCCAAGUCCUAUCACUACAUGCCCUUGUACAAAGUCCCUCUCUGUUUUUUCUGUAGGGUGCCUUUGUAUACUGGACGACUCGUUGCCAGUAGCAAGGCUUCAGAUGCUGGUGCCCUUGGCUUCCUAGAGGUGCUGCUCUGUACCACAGCAUGGCUGCUUUUGUUUGGGGAGAAAGCUGCAAUUGUAAAUACUGUCCUUAAAACAUCAGGAAUUCAUAUAUUC